AGAUAGGGUUCCUUUUCUUUCCAACAAGCCCCUCUUUCAGCCCAGGUAACCCUUAUCUGGUCCUUUGUGCUGGAUCUAACAAAGCUGAAGCUUGUUGACGACAAGUGUAGAAAAGGAGGAAUAACUUUGCUCAACCAUGCCUAUUCUCAACAAAUAAAUAAACUCUGAUUCUUUGGGAGGAAUAUCCAUAAGUUUUGGUGGGUGUACUUGGUAGAAUCUUCAUUGAGCCUGCGUGCUCAACAUGCAAUUUAAAGAUGUGCAGAUAAUGUCACAAGAGAGUAGAAUGUUGUUCCCUUCUAUGAACAAAUAGUGCCUGGUUCCCUGAAAUCAUGUUGAGGUAACUUUUUUUACAAGAUAGAAAAGGCAGGAAUAGAGAGCACCCCGAGAAAGAUUGGUAGUAGAUAUGGGAAGAUUUGAAUAAUGUGGGAUGGACUACUUGUUUACUUUUAUACAGAGACAAACAGGAAGAGUCUGAAGCACCUGCCUGUAUUCCAGAUCUGAGUAAAUGCAUUAAUGAUGCUGCAUAGUGUUCCAGGUGUCCUUAGCGCUCUCACAGGUAUGAAAAUAUUAUGAAUUUCUCUGGUCCUAUUAUAAUGUUAUAUACCAUUGUUCAUGUGGAUACAGCAAAUCACAUUAUUUUUAGCCAUCUGUAUGGAUUUUUGAAUUUUGCUUUUUCUAAGGUCAGCAUAGUUCUUUAAUACAGAAGCAGACACAGACAUCUGCCAUAGGAUUUCACAUGUAUAGAAAUAUUGAGAACUAAUUUUUGGCAUUAAGGUAUGAAUUGGGAUAUACAAGAAGCAGAUAAUUUAGAGAAAAAAUAGUCAGUUUUCAUUGCUAAUGAAUUUCCAAAUAUAAUAAUCAUAUUUAUUCUCUUUUCCUUUUUUUUUGGUAGCAAAUCUGAUAUGCAUUUCCACAGUGAACGCUAGAGAACUAACUAGAGUGAUCCAGUUAGUUUUCACUUACUCCUUUAGACAAAUUAUGGACUUUUUUUGCUCAGCAGCAAUAACCUCAGCAGUGACUUACCAGCUAGAAAUAUUAGCUACAUUUUAUUUCUGAAAAAUUUAGUAGAUUUCUUUGGUUUUGACUAUCUUCUUAACCAUGACUUUCACUUAAGACUUUUAAGUAAUAUUGUUAUUUCAGAAUAUAUUUAGGUCUUUAGCCUUUUUAGAGCUCAUUUCUGCUUUGGCCAAUAACUAAUGUGGAGGUCACUUGCCUUUUUGCUGAAGUCAUAUUGCAUAGUCAUCUACAUCAGCUUAGAAGUGUGAGUGGAUUGCAUCUCUUCUUAUUCCAGUUUGAGUGAGAGGAGUCUUCUAGAAAAGAAUUUUCUCUAAAAUUCCUUUUUGUGAAAUAUGUUGGGAGUCAGUGUUUAUAAAUCUUCACUGCUGAUAAUUUUUGGUUUUAUUUCUAAAAUUGACUUUCUGAUGGAUUAAGUCCUUCAAUGAGUUUUUCGAGUUGUAGUUACAAUUUCACAAUUGUUUUACUGUUCCUGUUUAUUCUGGAAAGAUGUUUCUGGAACAAGUAGAUGGCUCCUACCACCAAGCUAGCUGAGAAUGGGAAUUGAAAAUCCUAUGAAGCACAGAGGCAUCAUUCUGAACAAAUUUGUUUUCAAGAUUUUACUAUAAAAUUAAAAAUGCUUUCUGGAAAAUCAUAUGACUUACUAAAAAGAACUCUUACUAGUGCUCUAAUUCAUCUUCUUGUUUUGUUUCAACUAACUAGACCAGACAGCAACUUUCUUAUUUUUCUACACUUGUGAUAACUCAUGCAGAUUGAUAAUGUAAGUAAAAUCAGAGAUUCCACUUUUGUAUGGGUUUUGGAAUAGAUUUAGAAUAAUCUAUUAUUGAAGCUGUGUAACAAUAACUUCUUUCUAUCAACACUUAAAAUAAUUAUCUACAAAGAUGCAUUUGAGCUUAGCAAUUGAAUUGGACUCCCAUCAUUUAUAUAUAUAUGCAGAUAUAUCCAGUGGUCUGGCAAAUGUGGUUUAAUUUUUUCACAGUGGAUUGUGGUGCUGCUGACAAUCUUCAAGAAGCUCAUUUCUUCAGGUACUCUGACAUGGCUUGAACAGAGCAGUGCAGCUCAGAGGCCUUCCUCUGAAACAUUGAAUCAUUUGCUAUGCUGUAUAGAUGUGGUAAGCACAGUUUGUUCUAGGUGCCCUUGGGUUUUGUGCUUUUUAAAACAUUUUUUUUUAAUGUUUUCAUUGUGUAUCUCUAUAGGGUGAGUUCUUUGUUGGAUUCUCUGUGAAGAUAAAGUAUUUGAUAUGAUUCAAGAUGAGAUGAAUGAAGAAAGAAAGAAAUAAGAAUCUGUUUUGCAGGCAUAUUUAAAUUCCUAAUUUAUGACUGUUUCCAUUGCACUCAGCUGAUUGUGGAUUGGAUCAAUAGACUGCAAUAGUGAUCAAUAUCUGCAAGACCAUGUUAUUGGUCAGUUCAGAUAAAAUAGUUCUGGCUCCAAAUAAUUAA
Taeniopygia guttata (zebra finch) is the source of this 2453-nucleotide non-coding RNA. NCBI's taxonomy places the organism in Eukaryota, Metazoa, Chordata, Aves, Passeriformes, Estrildidae. The record is from RefSeq and is a predicted model, not a curated record.